UGGUGGAGUGAUUUGUCUGGUUAAUUCCGUUAACGAACGAGACCUCGACCUGCUAAAUAGUUCGACGAACCCCUCGGGGUUCGCACGUAACUUCUUAGAGGGACUAUCGGUGUCUAGCCGAUGGAAGUUCGAGGCAAUAACA
Molecule: ribosomal RNA, 142 nt
Filed under: uncultured eukaryote
Lineage: Eukaryota
Description: partial 18S ribosomal RNA
Rfam family: Eukaryotic small subunit ribosomal RNA
Source: RNAcentral